CAUUCCAAAGGUGAUAUAGGCCUCUUCAAAAGAAUCUGAAGAGCCAAAUUCGACAGUGAAGGUGGGGGGCAUUGGAGCCUUCCUCCAGUUGGCAUCUCCGCGACCCACAAUCCGAUCGUCACCCGACUAACCACAAGCCGGUAAGGCCUAGACCGCACUGAUGAGCCUGGUCGGGGCUUCGACGAUAAUGACAUCAUCAUCGAUGGAGAUGGAAGGUGCAGGAGGUGGUG
RNAcentral lists this long non-coding RNA (230 nucleotides) under Elaeis guineensis (African oil palm). RNAcentral's name for it is "long non-coding RNA (EGUI_LNC005344)". The record is from RNAcentral. Lineage: Eukaryota; Viridiplantae; Streptophyta; Magnoliopsida; Arecales; Arecaceae.